This 492-nucleotide ribosomal RNA is filed under the name uncultured bacterium. RNAcentral describes it as "partial 16S ribosomal RNA". It matches the Rfam family "Bacterial small subunit ribosomal RNA", at positions 29 to 507 of the family's 1533-position model. The record is from RNAcentral.
AUUGAACGCUGGCGGCAUGCUUUACACAUGCAAGUCGAACGGUAACAGGCCUUCGGGUGCUGACGAGUGGCGAACGGGUGAGUAAUGCAUCGGAACGUACCCAGAGGUGGGGGAUAACGCAGCGAAAGCUGUGCUAAUACCGCAUGUGAUCUGAGGAUGAAAGCGGGGGACCGAGCAGCAAUGUUUGGCCUCGCGCCUUUGGAGCGGCCGAUGUCGGAUUAGCUAGUUGGUGGGGUAAAGGCCUACCAAGGCGACGAUCCGUAGCUGGUCUGGGAGGACGACCAGCCACACUGGGACUGAGACACGGCCCAGACUCCUACGGGAGGCAGCAGUGGGGAAUUUUGGACAAUGGGCGCAAGCCUGAUCCAGCAAUGCCGCGUGCGGGAAGAAGGCCUUCGGGUUGUAAACCGCUUUUGGCAGGAACGAAACGGUGUCCGCUAAUACCGGGCGCUAAUGACGGUACCUGCAGAAUAAGCACCGGCUAACUACGUG